Molecule: ribosomal RNA, 253 nt
Filed under: uncultured bacterium
Lineage: Bacteria
Description: partial 16S ribosomal RNA
Rfam family: Bacterial small subunit ribosomal RNA
Source: RNAcentral
UACGUAGGGUCCAAGCGUUGUCCGGAUUUAUUGGGCGUAAAGAGCUCGUAGGCGGUCUGUCGCGUCUGCUGUGAAAACUCAGGGCUUAACCCUGAGCUUGCAGUGGGUACGGGCAGACUAGAGUGCGGUAGGGGAGACUGGAAUUCCUGGUGUAGCGGUGAAAUGCGCAGAUAUCAGGAGGAACACCGGUGGCGAAGGCGGGUCUCUGGGCCGAUACUGACGCUGAGGAGCGAAAGCGUGGGGAGCGAACAGG